UCUACGGGAGGCUGCAGUGGGGAAUAUUGGACAAUGGGGGGAACCCUGAUCCAGCGACGCCGCGUGAGUGAAGAAGUAUUUCGGUAUGUAAAGCUCUAUCAGCAGGGAAGAAAUAAAUUACGGUGCCUGACUAAGGAUUCCCGGCUAACUAUGUGCGAGCAGCCGCGGUAAUGCGGAGGCGGCAAGCGGUAUACGGAUUUACUGGGAGGAAAGUGAGCGUAGACGGCGAUGCAAGUCUGAAGUGAAAGGCCGGGGCUCAACCCCCGGACUGCUUGGGAAACUGUGUGGCUGGAGUGCAGGAGAGGUAAGCGGAAUUCCUAGUGUAGCGGUGAAAUGCGUAGAUAUCAGGCAGAACCCCAGUGGCGAAGGCGGCUUAC
RNAcentral lists this ribosomal RNA (377 nucleotides) under uncultured bacterium. Its description in RNAcentral is "partial 16S ribosomal RNA". It matches the Rfam family "Bacterial small subunit ribosomal RNA", at positions 338 to 729 of the family's 1533-position model. The record is from RNAcentral.